This 200-nucleotide ribosomal RNA is filed under the name uncultured bacterium. RNAcentral describes it as "partial 16S ribosomal RNA". It matches the Rfam family "Bacterial small subunit ribosomal RNA", at positions 328 to 539 of the family's 1533-position model. The record is from RNAcentral.
ACGCUCGACACCUACGGGGAGGCAGCAGUUGGGAAUAUUGGACAAUGGAGGAAACUCUGAUCCAGUGACGCCGCGUGAAGGAAGAAGGUCUUCGGAUUGUAAACUUAUUUUGUCAGGGAAGAAAAAAUGACUGUACCUGAAGAAAAGCACCGGCUAACUACGUGCUAGCAGCCGCGGUAAUCUGAGCGGGCUGGCAAGGC